Molecule: ribosomal RNA, 437 nt
Filed under: uncultured Oscillospiraceae bacterium
Lineage: Bacteria; Bacillati; Bacillota; Clostridia; Eubacteriales; Oscillospiraceae
Description: partial 16S ribosomal RNA
Rfam family: Bacterial small subunit ribosomal RNA
Source: RNAcentral
ACGGGAGGCGGCAGUGGGGAAUAUUGGGCAAUGGGCGAAAGCCUGACCCAGCGACGCCGCGUGAGGGAAGAAGGUCUUCGGAUUGUAAACCUCUUUCAGCAGGGAAGAAGAAGAUGACGGUACCUGCAGAAGAAGUCACGGCUAACUACGUGCCAGCAGGCGCGGUAAUACGUAGGUGGCGAGCGUUAUCCGGAAUUACUGGGUGUAAAGGGUGUGUAGGCGGAGAAGCAAGUCAGGUGUGAAAUGUAUGGGCUCAACCCAUAGACUGCACUUGAAACUGUUUCCCUUGAGAGUGGGAGAGGUAAACGGAAUUCCUGGUGUAGUAGUGAAAUGCGUAGAUAUCAGGAGGAACACCGGUGGCGAAGGCGGUUUACUGGACCACAACUGACGCUGAGGCUCGAAAGCGUGGGGAGCAAACAGGAUUAGAUACCCUGGUA